This is a long non-coding RNA of Panonychus citri (citrus red mite), 1607 nucleotides long. RefSeq lists it as uncharacterized. The record is from RefSeq and is a predicted model, not a curated record. NCBI's taxonomy places the organism in Eukaryota, Metazoa, Arthropoda, Arachnida, Trombidiformes, Tetranychidae. The transcript has 2 exons.
CUUAAAUGAUGGAAUUGUUGCCAUUUCAAAUGAUCGUUUGAGAAUUUUAAAUUAAAUCAUUUCAACUCUUUUUUCUUGUCUCUCUCUCUCUCUCUCUUCAUCUCUUUUCAUCUAUAAUAUGGAUCCACCUUCAUCUUUUAUUAUCUUCAUCAUCAUCAUCAACUUUCAUUCCAAAUCUCACCAAAUCAACUUCAAUUGUUCCUUCAGGCUUCAUCAAUGGUCCGUGAUUCCAUCCCUCUUUUAAUCUGCUACUGUACCUUUUGCCCAGUCAAGUCUUUUUCUGGAGAUUCCGAUAACAACUGAAUUAUUUUCCUUCUCAUUAACUUACCAUCAUCAUAAUCACCAUCAUUUCAAAUGAUCGGUUUAAUUAACCUGUUUUCUUCUUAAUUUUCGUCCAAUCUUCUUUUUCUAUUCUUUUCUCAAUUUGUAUAAUGUGUAAACAUUUUACUCUUCAAUCGAAUCAAUUUCUCCCCUGUAACUUGAAUUUCAUGAUUCGAGUUUUGAAUCUACGAAUCAACCCGCCGAUAUAAUUCCCACCAUUCUAAUUAAAUCAGUAUGCAUGUACUACUUUCAUUUCCUUGCUCAUUUGGUGCUCGGUUGGAUGGUCAUUUUCACAACAAUCAGUUUGGACAAUCAACAUGAAAAAUUUUUUCCUACUAAUUUGAAAUUAGUAAUUUCAAUAUCUGAAAAAAAAGUUAAACCAGGACAGCGGUCAAUUGGUAAACGAUUAAGUUGAUUACAUGUAUUUGUUAUCAUCUCCUCGUCACUCAAUUAAAUUGGAAGUGUGUUCAUAUCAAUUGGUAGUUUCAAUUGUUGGUGAUUCAAUUUUGAACAAUCAAAAUCAAAAUCAAUACAAAAUCUAUUUUUGAAUAAUUCGCAAAUGGAAAUCACUACACAGAGUAAAUUAUAUCUUAUCAAAUUCAAUAUACACCAAAGCUGAACCUCGGUAAGAUUAAAUUAUAACCAUAAUCAUGGAUUAGCUGAUUUAUUGGACAAUCAUCAUUUCGAGUACAAUUAGUUUGUUUCGGAUAAAGUUGGUUGAUAUGUGAUUCUGCAAACGCCUUAAAGAAAAUGUCAUUAACUUUUGCUGCUAAUUGUGGAAUCAGAAUAAUGGAAGCCGCCAACUGAUGAUUGAAAAAAGUGUUCAUCUUAAUCAUCUUACUGAUUACAAUUCAAAUUGUUACUUGACCCGAGGAAUUCAGGGAACCAACGAUUAUAUUUCUCAUCUUUAAACUUGAAAUUUUGUUAAUUCUUUUUAAAUCUUUUCAAUUUGAUUCCUUUAUCUUUGAAUAAUUGAGUUAUCCUCUAAUUGUUAAUCAUUGGAUUUACUUGAAACUUGAGAAUUUACUGUUCACGGAUUGAAAACAUGAAGAAGAAAAAACAAUUAAUCAAUUGGUUGGUUAAUUUUAACAAUCUUUUAAUUCAAUGGGUAAAUACACACUUUGUUUUUCCAUGCACAUACAAAUCCAUACAUAUUUUUAUGUGGAAUCAUAAUUGUGGUUUUCUUUUAAAUGAAAGAAAUUAAUUACAAUUAACACCGAUAAUAACAAUGAGAGCAAUUGUUUGUCCCUCAUGUUAAAACAAUAAACGAUUCACUUUUCAAUGGA